This 1434-nucleotide ribosomal RNA is filed under the name Klebsiella pneumoniae. Its description in RNAcentral is "bacterial SSU rRNA". It matches the Rfam family "Bacterial small subunit ribosomal RNA". The record is from RNAcentral. Lineage: Bacteria; Pseudomonadati; Pseudomonadota; Gammaproteobacteria; Enterobacterales; Enterobacteriaceae.
GGCGGGCAGCUACACAUGCAAGUCGAGCGGUAGCACAGAGAGCUUGCUCUCGGGUGACGAGCGGCGGACGGGUGAGUAAUGUCUGGGAAACUGCCUGAUGGAGGGGGAUAACUACUGGAAACGGUAGCUAAUACCGCAUAACGUCGCAAGACCAAAGUGGGGGACCUUCGGGCCUCAUGCCAUCAGAUGUGCCCAGAUGGGAUUAGCUAGUAGGUGGGGUAACGGCUCACCUAGGCGACGAUCCCUAGCUGGUCUGAGAGGAUGACCAGCCACACUGGAACUGAGACACGGUCCAGACUCCUACGGGAGGCAGCAGUGGGGAAUAUUGCACAAUGGGCGCAAGCCUGAUGCAGCCAUGCCGCGUGUGUGAAGAAGGCCUUCGGGUUGUAAAGCACUUUCAGCGGGGAGGAAGGCGUUAAGGUUAAUAACCUUGUCGAUUGACGUUACCCGCAGAAGAAGCACCGGCUAACUCCGUGCCAGCAGCCGCGGUAAUACGGAGGGUGCAAGCGUUAAUCGGAAUUACUGGGCGUAAAGCGCACGCAGGCGGUCUGUCAAGUCGGAUGUGAAAUCCCCGGGCUCAACCUGGGAACUGCAUUCGAAACUGGCAGGCUAGAGUCUUGUAGAGGGGGGUAGAAUUCCAGGUGUAGCGGUGAAAUGCGUAGAGAUCUGGAGGAAUACCGGUGGCGAAGGCGGCCCCCUGGACAAAGACUGACGCUCAGGUGCGAAAGCGUGGGGAGCAAACAGGAUUAGAUACCCUGGUAGUCCACGCCGUAAACGAUGUCGAUUUGGAGGUUGUGCCCUUGAGGCGUGGCUUCCGGAGCUAACGCGUUAAAUCGACCGCCUGGGGAGUACGGCCGCAAGGUUAAAACUCAAAUGAAUUGACGGGGGCCCGCACAAGCGGUGGAGCAUGUGGUUUAAUUCGAUGCAACGCGAAGAACCUUACCUGGUCUUGACAUCCACAGAACUUUCCAGAGAUGGAUUGGUGCCUUCGGGAACUGUGAGACAGGUGCUGCAUGGCUGUCGUCAGCUCGUGUUGUGAAAUGUUGGGUUAAGUCCCGCAACGAGCGCAACCCUUAUCCUUUGUUGCCAGCGGUUAGGCCGGGAACUCAAAGGAGACUGCCAGUGAUAAACUGGAGGAAGGUGGGGAUGACGUCAAGUCAUCAUGGCCCUUACGACCAGGGCUACACACGUGCUACAAUGGCAUAUACAAAGAGAAGCGACCUCGCGAGAGCAAGCGGACCUCAUAAAGUAUGUCGUAGUCCGGAUUGGAGUCUGCAACUCGACUCCAUGAAGUCGGAAUCGCUAGUAAUCGUAGAUCAGAAUGCUACGGUGAAUACGUUCCCGGGCCUUGUACACACCGCCCGUCACACCAUGGGAGUGGGUUGCAAAAGAAGUAGGUAGCUUAACCUUCGGGAGGGCGCUACCACUUUUUAA